AUGGCCUCCCCAGAGGAUGCCAUCUCGUCCACGAGCGGCGGCGCCUCGGCGUCCGCUAACCCUAAUCUGGAAGAGUUUUUCGACCAGCUCGAUCUCAAUGAGGAAGAGUUCAAUGAUGUGGAAAUUGAUGAGGAUGACCCGGUGAUCAAGGAAAGCGUCCGGUGGCUUGCCCUCGCGAGGGUGCACACCGAGAUUUUUUUUUCUCCAUCUGCCUUCUACAAGGACAUGAGGGCGGCUUGGAACCCUGCGCAACUGGUGAGAUUCAGACCGGUUGGGCCUAAUAGAUUUGUGGUUCAAGCAUCCUGCUUGGGUGAUUGGGAACGCAUCAUGGGGCAAGGGCCAUGGAUUUUCCGGAACAUGGCAGUACUUCUAUGUCCGUAUGAUGGGUUCAGUAGAGCGGAGGAAGUCGUGUUCGAUCAUAUGCCAAUCUGGCUACAGAUUCACAAGCUGCCUGACCCCUUCUGCAAAGAGAACAUCGUUCAGAAAUUGUUGAAGGGUGCGGGGGAAAUAAUGGAGAUGCGCCUGAACGGGAACACUCGUGGGGAUUACGUAAGGGUGAGGGUAAAUCAUGAUAUUCAGAAGCCCCUGACGAAGUUUGUGAGCAUAGUCCGAGCCAAGGAGCGCCAGGUAUAUCUGGUGCGCUAUGAGAAAUUGGCCCGUUUCUGCAGGGCGUGCGGUUUGAUCGGUCAUGAUUAUAAGGAGUGUGGUCUGGGAAUUCAUGAUGCAACAAAGCUCAAAUACGGGGAGUGGCUGUAUGCCGAUGGCCCAAACAGCUACAGGUCCGAUCUGAACAGUGGUAGUCAGGCUGCACCUCGUCGUCAGGGGAGGCCGAGUAGCCCGACAGGUACUCCAAGAUCAACUAAGCAAGAUCAAGACCCGGAGACCAGAGAUAUUGCUACGAGCCCCUUAAAGGGCAUUGUGGCUAGGAUGGAAGUGGACCGUGAUGCUAGGAAGAGGCUCAAUAUGGAGGAUGACACCGCUGGGGUGAUCAGGGAACCCAGUGCUCGGAAGCCGGUCCUUGCCAUCACCAAUGGGAGUGGAACAGAGUUGGGAUCAGCGAGCUCACCAACUAGCAGCACGUCAAGCUCCAAACGUGCAAAGCUCGCUAAGGAAAACGUUACCAAUGUUACAUCGGCGGCCUCCCUGGAGGAGGACCGCCGGACGCAAUGA
Molecule: ribosomal RNA, 1170 nt
Filed under: Triticum aestivum (bread wheat)
Lineage: Eukaryota; Viridiplantae; Streptophyta; Magnoliopsida; Poales; Poaceae
Description: partial small subunit ribosomal RNA
Source: RNAcentral